This is a non-coding RNA of Oryza sativa Japonica Group (Japanese rice), 3053 nucleotides long. The record is from RefSeq and is a predicted model, not a curated record. Lineage: Eukaryota; Viridiplantae; Streptophyta; Magnoliopsida; Poales; Poaceae.
CUCCAAAAACCAAAUGUUACCCACACCUAACAACCUGCUAAUCACUCUCCGCAGAUUCCUACGCCAUAUAAUCCCAACUAACCCACGACCUCCAUUUUUCUUGGACGAGCUGGACUACCCACCAAACCACAACUCGCCUCUGAGAUCAGAUUCUUCAUCUCCAAUCUGAAAUUCGCAACUGCCCCAGCCCUCUCUCUAGCUAGGGGCUCUCCUCCAUCAAGACUCCUGAAGAUCCAGAUUCUCCUGACUGCUGUAUCCUUCUUGCGUGCCCUUGACAAGUAGGGCAGAAGAUUCAACAUCUGAACCCCAAAAGGAGUCCAUGGAAGAAGUAAUGUGCUACUCUUUGGACUCUGGGAGAUCCUCUGCCUAGCAGCAUGUGCGUUGAAAAAAAGAUGGUGGUCAGGCAAGAGGCAUUUUGUCUAACUGAAAGCGCUUUGAUUCGACCAAUAUUGUUACUAAAUAUGGUAGGAUGAUUCACUACUGUUUUUGGUUAUGUUAGAUUUUUUAAAUAUGGUUUUAAGUAUAUAUGUCUAUAUUUCCUUUUGGAUGAAAAAUAUUUCAUUAUAUUCUCAUAUGUGAGUUUUGAUAUGAACCAAAUGUAGCUAUGGAUCACAUACGUAUCCUAGGUCUCCUAAUUAUGGGCAAUAAGUUUACUAUCCUGAUUACAGCAGGAUUUGCAUUGAGAUUGCAUUCAAAAGAAAAAACAAUAGAAGAUUAUCGUGUUGAACGCACAGGCACCCUGAAAUAAUUUUAGGCAGGCAAGGUAUCUGGGUAAUCUUUGGCCAUGCUACAAAAGCAAACAGGCAAGUCUGAUAUGUAUGGUCUAUCAUGAAAUGAGUGCCACUAUCUUAAUUGAGAGUUUAGUAAUACUUAUUGCAUCAAAGCUCAGUUAUAGCUUAUAGGCAUCCAAACUGUAGCUUUUCUCUUGCAGCUGCUAUUUUAAAAUCUCCUUUUACAUUUAGCUGCAGCUAAUUAUUUUUUUUCCUUUCCUGGCAAGCGGCUAGAGUUCAAGCUCCAGGAAAAGGUCACAUUUAGGCAAGUUCUACAGUCUUUCAGGUAAUUGAUCAUUUGAUUUCCUUGCACAAGAGACUGCACAGAUUUAUUGUGUGUAUGUGGUGCCACUACCACUGCACAGAAAACUGUUGCAUGGUAUUAUAUUUACCAGUGCUGUAACUUUUGUCCAUCUAUAUUUUAAGAGUUAUUUCCAUCAAGUACAAUGUAGUUUUCACCAUUUAACUGAUUUAUGAACUAUGGGAAUCAAAGGUCCAGAGAAUAUAAUAUUUGUUUGCUUGAGGCUUUCAUGUAUGCUUCUCCAACUGACAACAUGUGAUGUGGGAUAUGAUAUUGUGCCUUACUUCAAUGUACAAUACAAGUAAAUACUUUAUCCAUUCAAAUGCAGCUUGAAUAAUCAAUAGUUUUUUUCAGCACGUAUAUAUAUUUAUAUAUUUUCAUUGCAUUUUUGUAUAAUUGAACUGUCUGCAAAGCAAUUGUUUUUUGUUAAGUAUGAGUUAUCCUUUUUAAUAUGAAAGGUUGUGUGUAAUGGUCAAUGGUUUGCAAAUUGCAAUGCCGCAAAAUGAGAGCUGAGCCACAUAGUCCAUGUGCCAUGAUUUUCUUAUCCACUCUGUAAGCACGUGCUCCUUUAAAAAAUAUUAUAUGGUUCAGCUUGAUUAACAUUUAAUUUGUUAUUUCCCUGAAAGUUAAUUCAUUAUAAUAUGAUGUUCUUGCAGAGUUUCUGUUUCCAACCUGCUAAAUGCUGAACAUAAAGACGAAUAAUCUAAUUUUAUUAGGUAGAAGCAAUGAGACAACUGCAGUGGUUGAGAUUCGAACUCAUGUGGACAAGGAAAUGUUCACUCCAGCUAGCCUAUUCUGUUCUAAUCCAGUGUAUAUUUCUGUUUGAGCUUUUUUUAGCCUCACUGUAGUUUGUGCAAGAAAGUUUUAAAUGCCAUAUUCUAUCUUUGAAUCCAGGGAAAAAAAAUCUUAUUAUUAACCUUCAUUCAAUUGCAGAUGGCUGAUAGGAGUUGUACUACCACAGGUAGGAGUUGUGAGAAUGCUCAUGUGCAUACUAGGGAGUUAUUGUUGCAAAAUUAAUUGAUGGUUCAAAAUUGACUUCUUAUCAAGCAUAUAUGCAUUAAAAAGCAUAUUAUCUUUCUCUUCCAUGGUGUGUGGUUCCAAAGUUUAAUAGGUUACCAAUAUGUGUUCUUUGCCAGUGCAGGAUAUCAGGAUCAAAGUAGGUAUUUAUUCUGAUCUGUAUGGUGGUGGAGGGUAAUUCUUCUAGGUCAACUGGUACCUUUCUCAUUUUCAGAAAACAACAGUAAUCACGAUGAUCAUUUUUAGUGGUAAGAGUAUCAUCAUUUUUACUCUUUUUUUUGCGAACCAGGCUCAAAAGAACAUAUUUCAGAUGAGUAGGAAGCUUUGUUUUCUGAUGGUCUGAAAGGUUAGCAGUUAGCCAUUCUCUGCUUUCCCUUUACUAGACAAAAAUAAUAUGAAACUCUUUACUAUAAGAUCUGUUCAAAAUCAAUUAUAAUAACCCAGUUUCUAAUCUGAGGAUGGAAACCAUUAAUAAAUUAUCUUCUCCAUAGGAUCAGCAGCAAUCUUAAUGAACAUCAAGACAAUUGACAAUAUGCCCAUGGUAAAGAGUGCCGACUGAUUGGCCUUCGUUUAGUGUACAUUUGUAGUAGCUUUCUAUAAUAAUAAUAAUGAACAACAUAUAUAGUGAAUAUAGUCGGCCAACCUUUCGGCCGAUCCAGUAAAAUAUAUGGUGAAUUUCAUAAUUACAACUGUGAAUACUAAGAACAAAUUUUCUAUGCAGGUUCAAAAAGAUCAAUGGUUGAAUUUCCACGGUUUAAGUGACUGCUCAAGAAGUUAUCAAGAAUUGGAAGAAUGAAUAAAGACUAGAUAGGAAUAGAUAUAUUUCAUAUUUCUGCUAGUAUUUUUUUUUGCUUAAGAUGUAUUUCCUCCAUUUAAAAGACAUGCUUACUAUGAAAUGAUGUAAAAACAGUACUUCCUACAAAUUUUGUUAUGGUAAUGCAAUAUAUUACGAUCAGUUCACUAUA